AGCAGCCGCGGUAAUUCCAGCUCCAAUAGCGUAUAUUAAAGUUGCUGCAGUUAAAAAGCUCGUAGUUGAAUUUCGGGAUCAAUUUGCUGGUCGUGCCUACGGUACGUACUAGUUUUGUUGAUUCCUCCUUUCUGAGGAGCCGCGAUGUCAUUAAUUUGGUGUCGAGAGGAAUCGGGACUGUUACUUUGAAAAAAUUAGAGUGUUUAAAGCAGGCUAACGCUUGAAUACAUUAGCAUGGAAUAAUGAAAUAGGACGAUUGAUCCUAUUUUGUUGGUUUCUAGGAUCGACGUAAUGAUUAAUAGGGAUAGUUGGGGGCAUUAGUAUUCAAUUGUCAGAGGUGAAAUUCUUGGAUUUAUUGAAGAUUAACUACUGCGAAAGCAUUUGCCAAGGAUGUUUUCAUUAAUCAAGAACGAAAGUUAGGGGAUCGAAGACGAUCAGAUACCGUCGUAG
This 450-nucleotide ribosomal RNA is filed under the name uncultured Glomeromycotina. Its description in RNAcentral is "SSU rRNA". It matches the Rfam family "Eukaryotic small subunit ribosomal RNA", at positions 569 to 1023 of the family's 1831-position model. The record is from RNAcentral. Lineage: Eukaryota; Fungi; Glomeromycota.